UACUAUUGAGCAAUGGUUUCAACUAUGUAAAAAGAAGUGGGUCAAAUGGUUUGACAACCUACUGGAUUUGCUGUAAGCGUUUUGUGCUGCGCAUCGGCAACGAUAUCUGCACCGACGCUACACGGCAUAAAUACUCGAUUAUGCUAAAGAGUGGCAGUCAGUUUUCACAAAGCAGUUCAACGUUUCAUCAUGUUCAAGAGAAUCUGGAAAUCCUUGGCUAGAAUGUGCCGGAAUAGAGGCAAUAACAAGAAAUCGUAUAACUAUCAAUCAGCACAAGCCGACUAUCUAACAAUCCGUCAUCGCAGCAAAGCGGAAAUUAAUCUAGUUAGCCUUGAUGAUGGACGAACAGAAUUUCGAACGCCAUUCACUACUCGAUUGGGGCGAAAGGUCAUCCACCUUCGUAAAUAAUGCAGACGUGUUUUGCUGCGGGUCGUAUGACGCCUAGCUGAAAAGCAACCUGGAAUGUGAUAUCGUGUGACUUUUUGGUGUGGGAAUCGAAUUUUGGGUGCCUUGUUUGGUUUGCGGACACAACAUUAACUAUUUGUGCAUAAAUCUAUUUACAAACUAUUCUAUUUCCUACCCGUUUAAAUCAAAACUAUGAAAU
This is a long non-coding RNA of Daphnia carinata, 604 nucleotides long. RefSeq lists it as uncharacterized. The record is from RefSeq and is a predicted model, not a curated record. The transcript has 3 exons. Lineage: Eukaryota; Metazoa; Arthropoda; Branchiopoda; Diplostraca; Daphniidae.